This is a long non-coding RNA of Zingiber officinale, 1173 nucleotides long. RefSeq lists it as uncharacterized. The record is from RefSeq and is a predicted model, not a curated record. NCBI's taxonomy places the organism in Eukaryota, Viridiplantae, Streptophyta, Magnoliopsida, Zingiberales, Zingiberaceae. The transcript is spliced from 3 exons.
CCUAGGAAACGGUAUCUCUUAGCUGCUGAUUACUGUUCAUGCCUCCACCCCGACGCACGCCACCUUCUUCCUCUCCUCCAUUCGCCAGCCAGUGGCCUCCACCCCUUCUUCACCACCGCUGGCCAACCCUUCCUCUUCACCACCUUCCCUCAUCGACUACCGGCUCUCCUCCACUCUUCUCACGUGAAUAGAAUCAACCCGACGCCAACACAGAAGCAACUCACGCACGAGGCGCUUCCUAAAGCCAUGCCGGCGCUGCCGACUUCUUCAUUUUCAUUCACCUCCUCCCUUCAGAUUAGAAGGGAAGAGAGCAAGGGGUCUCCUCUUCAGUUUAGAAGAGGAGCUUCUUCUGUCUCCAGCCAUCCACGACCCUUCAUCAGCCCCUCAUUGUCAUCCAACAGCCCUCUUCCCUCUCCUCUUCGGGUUAGAAGAGGGGAGGGCAGCUUCCGUUGCUUCUAGUAGUUCCUUCUUCCACACCGGCAGUUUCUCUCUACCUUUCCCUAGUUCUUCCUUUGCUCCUGCCUUGCCCCCAACUAAAGACAGCCAUCAUCUCUAAGAAACAUUAGUGAAUUUAUGUUGUGUUGUCAAGUAGUUCCCUGUUCUACUUGCUUUUCAUUGGUUGUGUUGACUACUGCUCUACGAGAAAAUUUGUCGAUAUGCUAUGUUUGUUCGUUUCGUGUAGAGAAUAUAUGUUGACCAUCCAAUCAAUUUGUUGUUUCUCUUGGCACAGGAACCUUAUCACAGGAGGAGUAUCAGACUCAAUUUGAUCUAGUAAACAUGAAUUUACAAUUGAAAGAUCUUGCAGAGCAAAGGCUAAACACAAUAUAUCUCGCGAAGUAAUCAAUGAGAAGUUAGCCACACCGUUUCCUGCUGCUUGCCACAUGAAGGGGCGACCAGAUGGUGUUCUUCCUAUUGCUCAUUAUUGAGUUGAUCGGAUUCAUUGUUUUUUUGCUUCAAACCUUUCCUAGCUCGACCCAGAAUGGUGCUCUGCUAUAACACUGCUGUAGUGUCAAUUUUUAAUACGGAUCCUCUGUCUCGAAAUCACUUUGUCCCCUUAUCGAUCGGAUGGGUCAGAUUACAUCUCAAGGAUGACUUGCACAUCAUAAGGAUAUUACACGGAUUUGAAUAUGUUGAGUCCCUUGACUCAUAGAUUUUAACUUUUUUUCCAGAUAA